GGUUAUGACCCCACCCCGAGGGGGGCGCCACUGGGAUUAUAUACCCCGCGGAGGGAUACAGAGAAGCGAUACGGCAGAACGGGGUUACAUGGCCUAACGGGGUUACAUGGCCUGCAGAGGAAUAGGGGGGCAGGAGGUGCCCCCACCCCGGGCUAUACGCCCCACGGACGGAUACGGGGGGGGGCAUCAGGUCUGGGGCUAUACGGCCCACAAAGAAAUAGAGGAGGGAUGGGAGGUGUCAUCCCGGGAGCUAUAUGGACCAUGGAGGGAUACAAAGGUGUGUGAGGAGUCACCCCCGGGGCCAUAUGGCCAACAGAGAUACAGGGCUACGGGUUACCUCCGGGGCCAUACGGCCCGCGGAGGGAUACAGGAGGGAGGUGAGGAGUCACCCCAGGGCCAUACGGCCCACACAGAGAUACAGGGGUAGGGGUUACUCCCGGGGCCAUACGGCCUGCGGCGGGAUACAGGAUGGAGAUGAGGUGUCACCCCCGGGGCUAUACGGCCUGCGGCGGGAUACAGGAUGGAGAUGAGGUGUCACCCCCGGGGCCAUACGGCCCACACAAGGAUACGGGGGGGGGGGGUUACCCCCGGGGCUAUACAGCCUGCGGAGGGAUACAGGAUGGAGGUGAGGUGUCACCCCUGGGGCUAUACAGCCUGCGGAGGGAUACGGGGGGGGUGAGGUGUCGCCCCAAGGGACUUUAGGGCCUGCGGAGGGAUAUGGGAUGGACCUGUCACCCCCGGGCUAUAAGGCCCAUGCAAGGAUGGGCAGAGGAGUGUGAGGCCUCGCCGCAGGGGCCCUAGGGCCCGCGGAGGGAUACAGGGCGGCGCGAGGCCUCGCCGCAGGGGCCCUAGGGCCCGCGGAGGGAUACUUCGCGAGGUUAUGAAGCUGUAGGGACUACAUGCCCUGCGCGGGUCACCGGGCUGCGGAAGAGGCCGCAGACCGACAUGCCCGGCGGAAGAAUAACCCCUAGGGGAAGGGAAGGCCGAAGUAGCGACCCGCGGAGGGAUACCGGCCUGGGUAACUCGUCCCAACCGCCCGCCCCUCGGAGGGAUACCAGGAGUGUGAGGCGUCACCCGGCACUAUCUACCCCGCCCCGCGGAGCGAUACCUGAGCGCUGGUGCUGAGAGCAGAAGCCGGGGCUGUCUCCCCGGUAACGGCGGAGGGAUACCGGGCGGCUCACUGGGGCUGAGGCAGCCAUGGACCCGGUGCCGGCAAUGGAGGUUGGGGCCGAAAUUGAAGUGAUUGAAGACGGCGUGUUGGAGGAGCUGCCGCUGCGGCUGGUACGUCCCGGCGCUCGUGUCUGAGCAGCGGUGCACCGGCUCGGACGGGAGAUGCAGCCAUCUCUGGGGUGGGGCAGAGGCUGGUUAUUCAGGACACCUCCCCCAGCCCUGAGACGCGUCUGCCUCUGGGGGGCAGGGAGCUGCUUAACAGUUUGAGACAGGAAGUGCAUGAACCUCACAUACAUGACUGUCAUUUCAGGGUAGUUUUGGUCUGGACUCCGAACUUUACUCCACUUCCUGUUCAUUUUGGGGGUACUCCAUAGAGAACUUGAUGUACUGCAGGGGGCGAGAUGGGGGGCUCUCGCCCGGCAUUCAGGACUGGCCCCCGGCAGCAACAGGGGGGCUGUGAUGCAGGAGGUGGGGGACCCCCAGUCAGGGCUGGCCCCGAUUCCCCAGCAUGGCGGUAGGGGGUGCUGUAUCACAGGGAGUGGCGUGGGGGUACUCUCCCCCCCCACUUACCCCCAUUUCAUCCC
Caretta caretta (loggerhead turtle) is the source of this 1754-nucleotide non-coding RNA. Lineage: Eukaryota; Metazoa; Chordata; Testudines; Cheloniidae. The record is from RefSeq and is a predicted model, not a curated record.